CAGCGGAGCAUGUGGCUUAAUUCGAAGCAACGCGCAGAACCUUACAACCCUUGACAUGGCAGGACCGCUGGAGAGAUUCAGCUUUCUCGUAAGAGACCUGCACACAGGUGCUGCAUGGCUGUCGUCAGCUCGUGUCGUGAGAUGUUCGGUUAAGUCCGGCAACGAGCGCAACCCACGUCCCUAGUUGCCAGCAUUCAGUUGGGCACUCUAUGGAAACUGCCGGUGAUAAGCCGGAGGAAGGUGUGGAUGACGUCAAGUCCUCAUGGCCCUUACGGUUGGGCUACACACGUGCUACAAUGGUGGUGACAGUGGGUUAAUCCCCAAAAGCCAUCUCAGUUCGGAUUGUCCUCUGCAACUCGAGGGCAUGAAGUUGGAAUCGCUAGUAAUCGCGGAACAGCAUGCCGCGGUGAAUACGUUCCCGGGCCUU
Molecule: ribosomal RNA, 427 nt
Filed under: uncultured Paracoccus sp.
Lineage: Bacteria; Pseudomonadati; Pseudomonadota; Alphaproteobacteria; Rhodobacterales; Paracoccaceae
Description: bacterial SSU rRNA
Rfam family: Bacterial small subunit ribosomal RNA
Source: RNAcentral